GGAACUUAUAGGUGGCUUCAUUGGCUUCCUAUCUCUUUUUACAAAAAGCUUGACCAUUUGAUCAGCUGUGUGCCUGUGUUUGUAUGUUAUGGAUUCUCCAUCAAAGCAAAUGAAUCUGUUGGCAGAAGAUCUGGAAUUUGUUUAAAGUAGCUGACGCUAAGCAGAUUUCUGCCAUGGCUCGUCGUACGUUUGACAAGAGUGGCCCUUUGUUAGUGGUGGCAUCUGGUCGUGAUACUGUUUCUGUCGCAAGCUCCGUUGGACGAACUAGCUAUGGAAUAUGUUUUUGUUGUUCAGUUAAGUCUCUUCCUUGUAACAAAAUAGAUUAUUUCAUAUUUCAUGAAGUUCGGUUGGAAUAUUUGUUACUUUAUAUUCAUUUUUACUUCAUUUUAGAAUAGAAAACUCAGGUGAGUUGAAAAUGUCGUAAGAAUCGGUAAAAACCCCUAUACAUGCCGCUUUAUUAUUAGCUAAUAAUUCAUUAUUAUUUUUUUUAUUUUUUUUGCUAAUAAUUCAUUUUUGCCUUCUUUCUCUUCCUCUUCGUCCAUGUAUCAUCCAAGUUGGUCCUUGCAUGUGAAUUUGACAAUUCAGUGACGACUGACGAGUGAAUUUCCUUUAAAAGAAUAGCGCCGUUGUCAAAGAACAAAAAACAAAGAAAAAGAAUAGAGCAACCUGUCAGCAAGCGACACGCUAUCUACAUUUCAUUUUGGUACCCAAAUCGACUUUUCGGACCACACAGAGUCCACCUUUCAGCGUUGUAUGACUUUAUCGACAUCUUUUUAUUAGUGUUAUAAAGUUUUUUUUUUGUAACCUACUGUUUUAUG
Molecule: long non-coding RNA, 818 nt
Organism: Raphanus sativus (radish)
Lineage: Eukaryota; Viridiplantae; Streptophyta; Magnoliopsida; Brassicales; Brassicaceae
Exons: 3
Source: RefSeq, a predicted model, not a curated record